This 4594-nucleotide long non-coding RNA is filed under the name Homo sapiens (human). RNAcentral's name for it is "non-protein coding lnc-FANCC-1:6". Lineage: Eukaryota; Metazoa; Chordata; Mammalia; Primates; Hominidae. The record is from RNAcentral.
AGAGCCGCAGCCGCCGCGCAGGCAGGGCCGGGCCGGGCCGGGUGCGCGGGCACAAAGGGGCCGCUGCACAUGGCAGGCAGGCGAGCAGAUGCCAGCAGACAGCUUUUUGUUUUGUGGAAGGUAGUACUUGCAAGGGAUGAAACUGGAUAUUUUACUGAGGAGAUUUCUAAGCAAAAUGUCGAAGAAGUGACUUGGUUCCUCCCAGUUGAUUGUAGUAAAAUGCAAGAAGAGAGAAAUGAAUUGAAAAAGGAAUUGUUGAGCAAAAAUGAACCAGAGUUUAAAGAUUUGGAAAAUUCUCUGUCUGUUCAUAUGACGAAAAAUGAGAAAGUGUGUACUGAAGAGAACACUAAGGGUGUGGUGGACCAACCAUUUCAUAAAGAGAUUAGUGUGGCUGUGUACCAUGAACUUAAUCAGCCAUUUCAACAGAGGCCGGGAAUACAGAUGGGAUUACACCUGCAGAGACACUGCUGGCUGGGACUAAAAAAAACAGAACAUGGAAUGGAAUGAAGGAAGGCCGUGACUUUGUGCUAUCAUCUAGUAAAAGGGAUGAAGGGCCCCGAGGCAAUUUGGAGGUCCUCUGCCUCCAAUUUGAAGGACUAUUGCCCUGGUUUCAAUAGUCCAGACAGCUUCCAACCAAAGAUGUGGAGGCACAAUCUUUGCCUGGUAGAGAAGCUAGGGGUGCAACAUCUGGCCAGGAAUGCUGCUGGGGUGGGACCUUUACCCUAGUGGCUCCAGAAGGCAGGGCAUCAAACCAAGGAUUACUCCCAAGCCUUAAGAUUUCAUGGAGUUUGCUUUGUAGUUUGGACUUGCUUGGGACUGGGUCACCCCUUCCUUCUGUGUUUCUUGCUUUUGGAAUGGGAAUGCCUAUCCUAUGCCUGUCCCACCAAUGUAUUUUGGAAGUAUACAACUUGUUUGGUUUCACAGAUUCGCAGCUGGAGAGGAAUUUUGCCCCAGGAUGAAUCAUAACUCAAGUCUCACUGUACCUAAUUUAGAAGAUAUUUAGAAAAGACUUUGGACUUUAGACAUUAGCGUUGUUGCUGGAAUGAGUUAAGACUUUGGAGGAUGGAAUGAAUGUACAGAUGCUCCUUGACUUAGAAUGGGGUUAUGUCCCAAUAAACCCAUUGUAAGUAAAAAAAUAUAUAAGUAAAAAUGCAUUCAGUACCCUGAUAAACCCAUGGUAAAGUCAAAAAAUCAGAAGAUGCUUUUCAACUUACAAUGGGGUUAUUUAUUUCCUGAUAGACCCAUCGCAAAAUUUAAAAAUUGUAAGUUGAACCAUCAUAUGUUGAGGACAAUGUGUAUUUGGCACAUGAGAAGGACAUGAAUUUUGGGGGGCCAGGGGUAGAAUGCUAUGGACUGAACUUAUGUGUCUCCCUAAAAUUCGUACGUUAUGACCCUAGUUCCUAAUGUGAUGAGGAAAUAAAUGUUCAUUGUUUAGGCCACCCAGUCUAUGGUAUUCUUUUUGUAUCAUCUUGCACUGACUAAGACAGGCAUUUAUGAAAUACAGUUGCUCUGGCACUAAAAGGAACAAAUGAUAUGCAGCAGUAAGGAUGGGUGUUAAAAAAUAUUGUGCUGAGUGAAAAAUGCCAGACCCUCCCACAACAUAUCCUCUACGUAAUUCCAUUUAUAUGAAGUUCUAUCAUUGGCAGGACAAAUCUAAUGUAUGUGAUUGAGAUCAGAUCAGUGGUUGCUUUGGGAGUAUGAGGUGGGAUUAACUGAGAAGGGGUACAGGGAAACUUUCUAGGGGAUAGAAAUGCUCCGUAUCUUCCUCAAGAUAUUAAUUUGUCAAACCCCAUGGAACUCUACAAUUAAGACCUGUGCAUUUCACUGUAUGUAAAUGAUACCUCAGUAGUGUGGUCUCUAUGUGUGUGUAUAUACAUGUGUGCGUGUGUGUGUAUCUGUUCUUUGCCCUGCCCCCUUUCCAUUCCUGCCCUGAGAAGAUAGAAGACCUAGGAAGUAGAGAAUGCAGUCCCAUAGAAAGGAAGGCAGUCCCAAGGAGGGCCAUAAAAGAAGUCCUAGAAGGACCGAGAAGGAGAGUGGAGGGUUCCAGCAGGGACGUCUACAAGAAAAUGGUGGCCCAGAUGGAUGACUUCAUGAGGAAGCUGGAGGAAGUUGUGGGAAGUUAUACCAGGAAGUUAUUAAAAGGUGUGAGAAAGAAAACUAAGGAAAAAGAAAGAAAAGCAAUCAUUAACAUGAGGAGGCAGGGGGCAGUAAGGACAGGGGCAUGGUCACAGUACCCUACAGUGCUCGGCUGGGAGUAAUAUGUACAUAGGAUAAUGUAAACACUAUGUGUUAUUUAAUCCUACAAUUUGCAAUAUAAUUAUAUUGAAGGACUGCUGAGGGAGGGCUGAAGGAUGGCUCCUUGACCAUCAUGUGAAGUUAGUAGUUAAAACGGAUGAAUCAGAAGAGGUCAGGGUGCACACAUUACUUAGAAUCAAGAACAUGUGAAUGCCAGGAAAAAAAAUUGCUUAAAAAUUAUGUGGACUUUAAAUUCUAUCUACCAGGCCACAUUAGUCUUUUCCAGUAACAAAGUUGAACCCUCUAAGGAGAUUUCUAGGGCAGUUUGAAAAAGACCCAAAGCUGUUUACUAAUGUAGUUUAUUAAUUAAAGUGGCCCUGGAGUCACACACCACAGGUACUACAAUUUGUCAUGACAUUUGGCCCUCCAUGUCCAAGGGUUCCACAUACACGGAUUCAACAAACCUCAGAUCAAAAUUAUUCAAAAAAUGAAAAUAAAAAAUAAUAAUGCAACCAUAUGACACCUUCCAGUUGCCUGACUGCCUCUUCACCUUUCCCAUGGGAACUCCAGCGUCUCCUUUGCUCAAAACGGACCCCAACAGCUCCUGCACCACUGGCGGCUGCUGGCCCUGUGCUGGCUCCUGCAAAUGCAAAGAGUGCAAAUGCACCUCCUGCAAGAAGAUCUGCUCCUGCUGCCCUGUGGGCUGUGCCAAGUGUGCCCAGGGCUGCAUCUGCAAAGGGGCAACAGAGAAGUGCAGCUGCUGUGCCUGAUGUGGGGACAGCCCUGCUCCCAGAUGUAAAUGAAGCAACUUGGAUACAAACCUGGAUUUUUUUUUUCAUAUGACCCUGAGCCAUUUGCUACAUUCCUUUUUCUAUAAAUAUGUAAAUAACAGUAAAACACUUUUGACUUAAAAAAAAAUGCAACAAUAUGAAGUAAUACAAAUAAAAAUACAGUGUUAACAACUAUAUACAUAGCAUUUACAUUGUUCUAGGUAUUAUAAGUCAUCUAGAGAUGAUUUAAAGCAUGUGGGACAGUGUGUGUGGGCUAUGUGUACAUACUGUACCAUUUUAUGGAAGAGACCUGAGCAUCUGCUGCUUUUUAGCAUCCACGGGGGUCCUGAGACCAAUCCCCUGAAGAUACUUAAGGUUGGCAGUACUCAUUUAUUUGUUUACUUGUUUUCAGAAGUUCAGACUAAAACCAGGUAAGCAAAAAUUAUUGACGGUAGCUCUGAAGCAAGCAAGAGGGAGGAGCCCUUACCUCCCUGCUGUGGUGUGGCAGGAGUCCCUCUCCUGAAGCCGUUGGCAAGACUAGACCUCUCUCAUACAUCCCCCACCGCAGCCUCAUUAUCAGCCAGUCAGUUCAAUAUGAUGUUUCCUCAACUCUCAGAUCUUCUGUUCCAAAACCCACCAACAAUUUAAUAACAGCUUUGCAGCUGACAAGCCUACUUUGACCUGAAUUGCAAAAUGCAUCUCAAUUUCAGAAAUAUUAAUAUGUGGAAAACCAUGUAUCUCUCCACCAAAGAUUCCGUUAAAGGACCCUGGUUUGGGUCUUGUUCCACACCUCCCAUCUUGGCCUAUUGGUGGAGGUAUUUUUGUACAGCUGAACAGUGUCCCAGAGUCCCCCGACAGCUCAGGCCUUCAUGCUCUUGGCUAUACCGAGUGUUGGCUGCCCACAGCUCUCAACUGAAUUCCUCUCUGUGAUUUGCCUUCAGCUCAAAACAGCCACUUUCCCGAGUUCAUGCCCCUUCCCCAGGACAGCUGUGUCCAGUGGGCAAUGGGGCAGGGGUACAAAAGCCCCGCCCUCUGAGGGCUCUUUCCACUUCAGACUUGCCCUGGGGUUGUCGGAGGCCUCGUGGAGACUGCCUUGCAGCUCAGCAUCUCUCUGCCUCAUCCUGCCUCUUUCUCUUCCUUCACAGAUGUUGAUCCUGGGAGUACCUCAAUAAACUUCAGGAGGCAAAUCUCAGAGUCAGCUUCCUGAGGUCCCAAAUGGGACAAAGUCUCAUUUCAGCCUAUUGUCGUUCCCUUCAUGCCGUAGGCAUUUCAGGGGUUCAUGACUGACCACCCCGUCCAGUCUCUGUGCAGACAUGAACCCAUUACACCUGGAGCCCUCCCUGACUUCCUAAGGCCCUGAGCUGGUGCUUUUCUGGGCCAAGCCCAUCAUGAGGCUUCUGACAGAUGAGGUGACCAUCCUGCUCUGCUACUGACGUGACAUGUGGCUUCGGCAGAUUGCUCACGGUCCCUCCGCCUCCAGGUCCUCAUCUGUCAAACGGGAGGAUUCAGCAGGAGGACUGCGGUGAAGCAUUAAGCACAGGCCUGGCACAUGGCAGGGGCUCAUUCCUUUUUCCUGUAUCCCAUUCCAG